Molecule: RNA transcript, 2378 nt
Organism: Pan troglodytes (chimpanzee)
Lineage: Eukaryota; Metazoa; Chordata; Mammalia; Primates; Hominidae
Gene: CABYR
Gene name: calcium binding tyrosine phosphorylation regulated
Exons: 6
Source: RefSeq, marked provisional
CCGCCUCGGCCUCCCAAAGUGCUGGGAUUACAGGCGUGAGCCACCGUGCCUGGCAGAGUGGGCGUUUUUAAAUGAAGCAGUAUUCCUUUAGUUUGGUAAAAUUGAGCUGAAGUUACACACAGUAACACUUUGACUUGUUGCUGACGGUGUGCUUUGUGAGGAUAGUUGGUGUCUGAUCUCAACUGUGGAGAAACAGGAAGUUUCUGGAUUCAUGUUAAACUCCCAUUCCACAGGCGAGUUUCACAAAAGAAAAAGUGCUCUGUUGCAUACAAUUAUUCACUGUGUGUCUACAAUGUGGCAGAAAUUAUUAUUCCUAAAGGUGACCGAAGAGAGCUAUAGUUUAUGGGGCCAGGAGCAAUGUGUGGAAUGGCGAGGCAGUGACAAGACAGCACUGCCAUAAAUCUCUUACUUUCUUUCCAAACGAGCUCUAAUUUUAAGCUCAACGACCAAAGACGGAGAGGCAGUCGCUUUGAGCUACUCCUGGCUAUUUGUUGGGAAAUCACCUAAAUCCGUUCAGAUUUAGCCAGAAAAGGGGAAAUAAGUCUCCCUCGCCGGCCAAAUCAUGGCCUUUGUCGCUUUCGGCUCCCCAUUGGCUGCGGCCGCUGUGGCCCCGCCUCCUUGCGUGGUGCGGAGCUUUGUGAUGCGGGGCUUCGUGAUGCACGCCCUGAUGCCUGCGGGGCUAUAAAAACGCUCGCAAGCGUCAAGUCUCCUUAGGAGCCGCCGGCAAGGGGGCAACGAGGAAGCUCUAAAGAGCGCGGCCGGAAAGCAGUUGAGUUACAGACAUCCUGCCAAAAUGAUUUCUUCAAAGCCCAGACUUGUCGUACCCUAUGGCCUCAAGACUCUGCUAGAGGGAAUUAGCAGAGCUGUUCUCAAAACCAACCCAUCAAACAUCAACCAGUUUGCAGCAGCUUAUUUUCAAGAACUUACUAAGUAUAGAGGGAAUACUACUAUGGAUAUAAAAGAUCUGGUUAAACAAUUUCAUCAGAUUAAAGUAGAGAAAUGGUCAGAAGGAACGACACCACAGAAGAAAUUAGAAUGUUUAAAAGAACCAGGAAAAACAUCUGUAGAAUCUAAAGUACCUACCCAGAUGGAAAAAUCUACAGACACAGACGAGGACAAUGUAACCAGAACAGAAUAUAGUGACAAAACCACCCAGUUUCCAUCAGUUUACGCUGUGCCAGGCACUGAGCAAACAGAAGCAGUUCGUGAUCUUUCUUCCAAACCAGCCACCCCUGAGGCUACUACCCCACCCUCAUCACCACCUCCAACAGCUGUCUCACCAGAGUUUGCCUACGUCCCAGCUGACCCAGCUCAGCUUGCUGCUCAGAUGUUAGGUAAAGUUUCAUCUAUUCAUUCUGAUCAAUCUGAUGUGUUAAUGGUGGAUGUGGCAACCAGUAUGCCUGUUGUUAUCAAGGAGGUGCCAAGCUCAGAGGCUGCUGAAGAUGUCAUGGUGGCUGCUCCUCUUGUGUGUUCUGGAAAGGUGCUAGAAGUGCAGGUUGUGAACCAAACAUCUGUCCAUGUAGAUUUGGGUUCUCAACCUAAAGAAAAUGAGGCUGAACCACCAACGGCUUCCUCAGUCCCCUUGCAGGAUGAACAAGAACCUCCUGCUUAUGAUCAAGCUCUUGAGGUCACUUUGCAGGCUGAUAUUGAGGUUAUGUCAACUGUUCAUAUAUCAUCUGUCUAUAACGAUAUGCCUGUGACUGAAGGAGUUGUUUAUAUCGAGCAACUGCCAGAACAAAUAGUUAUCCCUUUUACUGAUCAAGUUGCUUGUCUUAAAGAAAAUGAGCAGUCAAAAGAAAAUGAGCAGUCACCACGAGUUAGUCCCAAAUCUGUAGUAGAAAAGACCACCUCUGGCAUGUCUAAAAAAUCUGUAGAGUCUGUAAAACUUGCACAGUUGGAGGAGAAUGCAAAAUAUUCCUCAGUAUAUAUGGAGGCAGAAGCAACAGCUCUGCUCUCUGACACAUCUUUGAAAGGUCAGCCUGAGGUACCUGCACAACUCCUGGAUGCAGAAGGCGCUAUCAAAAUAGGCUCUGAAAAAUCUCUGCACCUUGAAGUGGAGAUCACUUCAAUAGUCUCUGACAAUACUGGGCAGGAGGAGUCUGGGGAAAACUCUGUACCCCAGGAGAUGGAAGGCAAACCUGUGCUCUCUGGGGAAGCUGCAGAAGCAGUGCACUCAGGUACAUCUGUAAAGUCAUCUAGUGGCCCCUUCCCUCCUGCUCCAGAAGGCCUUACUGCACCAGAAAUUGAACCAGAAGGGGAAGCAACAGCUGAAUAAGGUUUGAUGAAGCCAGGGGAAGAAAAAAGGCUGCACCGGGGAUAGAUGGCCCAGUGUUCAAAAGCAAUGGCAACAAGUGAACGAGGACAACCACCACCAUAUU